RNAcentral lists this ribosomal RNA (253 nucleotides) under uncultured bacterium. RNAcentral's name for it is "partial 16S ribosomal RNA". It matches the Rfam family "Bacterial small subunit ribosomal RNA", at positions 524 to 776 of the family's 1533-position model. The record is from RNAcentral.
UACGGGGGGGGCAAGCGUUGUUCGGAAUUACAGGGCGUAAAGGGCUUGUAGGUGGCCAACUAAGUCAGACGUGAAAUCCCUCGGCUUAACCGGGGAACUGCGUCUGAUACUGGCGAUCUCGAGUUCGGGAGAGGUGAGUGGAACUGCGAGUGUAGAGGUGAAAUUCGUAGAUAUUCGCAAGAACACCGGUGGCGAAGGCGGGUCUCUGGGCCGUAACUGACGCUGAGGAGCGAAAGCAUGGGGAGCGAACAGG